Molecule: ribosomal RNA, 440 nt
Filed under: uncultured bacterium
Lineage: Bacteria
Description: partial 16S ribosomal RNA
Rfam family: Bacterial small subunit ribosomal RNA
Source: RNAcentral
CCUACGGGCGGCAGCAGUGGGGAAUAUUGCACAAUGGGGGAAACCCUGAUGCAGCGACGCCGCGUGAGCGAUGAAGUAUUUAGGUAUGUAAAGCUCUAUCAGCAGGGAAGAAAAUGACGGUACCUGACUAAGAAGCCCCGGCUAACUACGUGCCAGCAGCCGCGGUAAUACGUAGGGGGCAAGCGUUAUCCGGAUUUACUGGGUGUAAAGGGAGCGUAGACGGCGGUGCAAGCCAGAUGUGAAAGCCCCGGGCUCAACCCCGGGACUGCAGUUGGAACUGUGCUGCUAGAGUGUCGGAGAGGCAGGCGGAAUUCCUAGUGUAGCGGUGAAAUGCGUAGAUAUUAGGAGGAACACCAGUGGCGAAGGCGGCCUGCUGGAGGAUGACUGACGUUGAGGCUCGAAAGCGUGUGGAGCGAACAGGAUUAGAUACCCUUGUAGUC